RNAcentral lists this small nuclear RNA (104 nucleotides) under Saimiri boliviensis boliviensis (Bolivian squirrel monkey). Lineage: Eukaryota; Metazoa; Chordata; Mammalia; Primates; Cebidae. The record is from RNAcentral.
CUGCUUGCUUUGGCAGCACAGACGCUAAAAUUGGAAUGAUACAGAGAUUAGCAUAAUCUCUGUGCAAGAAUGACAUACAAAUUCGUGAAGCAUUCCAUAUUUUU